UUAGGAAUCUUCCGCAAUGGGCGAAAGCCUGACGGAGCGACACUGCUUGGAGGAUGAAGGUUUUCGGAUCGUAAACUCCUGAACGAGGGACGAAUAAUGACGGUACCUCGCUAAUAGCACCGGCUAACUCCGUGCCAGCAGCCGCGGUAAUACGGAGGGUGCGAGCGUUAUCCGGAAUCACUGGGCGUAAAGGGCGCGUAGGCGGUUUGUUAAGUCCGAUGUUAAAGACCGAGGCUCAACCUCGAUACGGCGUUGGAUACUGACAAGCUGGACGGUUGGAGAGGAAGGUAGAAUUACCAGUGUAGCGGUGGAAUGCGUAGAUACUGGUAGGAAUACCCAUUGCGAAGGCAGCCUUCUGGACAACACGUGACGCUGAGGCGCGAAAGUGUGGGGAGCAAACCGG
This 403-nucleotide ribosomal RNA is filed under the name uncultured bacterium. RNAcentral's name for it is "bacterial SSU rRNA". It matches the Rfam family "Bacterial small subunit ribosomal RNA", at positions 355 to 776 of the family's 1533-position model. The record is from RNAcentral.